AGUGGCAGACGGGUGAGUAACGCGUGGGAACCUUCCCUUUGGUACGGAAUAACUUCGGGAAACCGAAGCUAAUACCGUAUAAGUCCUUCGGGAGAAAGAUUUAUCGCCAAAGGAUGGGCCCGCGUUGGAUUAGCUAGUUGGUAGGGUAAAGGCCUACCAAGGCUACGAUCCAUAGCUGGUCUGAGAGGAUGAUCAGCCACACUGGGACUGAGACACGGCCCAGACUCCUACGGGAGGCAGCAGUGGGGAAUAUUGGACAAUGGGGGCAACCCUGAUCCAGCCAUGCCGCGUGAGUGAAGAAGGCCUUUGGGUUGUAAAGCUCUUUUGGCGGGGACGAUAAUGACGGUACCCGCAGAGUAAGCCCCGGCUAACUUCGUGCCAGCAGCCGCGGUAAUACGAAGGGGGCUAGCGUUGUUCGGAAUCACUGGGCGUAAAGCGCACGCAGGCGGAUUGAUAAGUCAGGGGUGAAAUCCCGGAGCUCAACUUCGGAAUUGCCUUUGA
RNAcentral lists this ribosomal RNA (501 nucleotides) under uncultured bacterium. RNAcentral's name for it is "bacterial SSU rRNA". It matches the Rfam family "Bacterial small subunit ribosomal RNA", at positions 94 to 630 of the family's 1533-position model. The record is from RNAcentral.